This 178-nucleotide small nuclear RNA is filed under the name Seriola dumerili (greater amberjack). Its description in RNAcentral is "U2 spliceosomal RNA (ENSSDUG00000022017.1)". It matches the Rfam family "U2 spliceosomal RNA". Rfam says of the family: U2 is a small nuclear RNA (snRNA) component of the spliceosome (involved in pre-mRNA splicing). Complementary binding between U2 snRNA (in an area lying towards the 5' end but 3' to hairpin I) and the branchpoint sequence (BPS) of the intron results the bulging out of an unpaired adenosine, on the BPS, which initiates a nucleophilic attack at the intronic 5' splice site, thus starting the first of two transesterification reactions that mediate splicing. Lineage: Eukaryota; Metazoa; Chordata; Actinopteri; Carangiformes; Carangidae. The record is from RNAcentral.
AAACUUUUUCAAAAGAAAAAAAAAAUCUGUUCUUAUCAGUUUAAUAUCAGAUAUGUCCUCUAUGCGAGGACAACAUAUUAAAGUAAUUUUUAGAAGUGGGAGCCGAAAAAGGGGCUUGCUCCGUUCGCUCCACACAUCGACCCGGCAUUGCAGUGCCGCCAGGUACGGUGCAACCUUC